UGGAGGCAUGAGAAGGUGGCGCAGUCUACUCUACUGCGUCUUACUGGUAAUAUCCUCCUACAGGAACAGCUGCAUUUGCAUUUAAUCUGCCUGUUCCUACUGGGAACUAGGCCUGCAAGCUGCAGCUACAUA
Rana temporaria (common frog) is the source of this 132-nucleotide small nucleolar RNA. RefSeq annotates it as small nucleolar RNA SNORA47. The transcript has a single exon. The record is from RefSeq and is a predicted model, not a curated record. NCBI's taxonomy places the organism in Eukaryota, Metazoa, Chordata, Amphibia, Anura, Ranidae.